Molecule: ribosomal RNA, 465 nt
Filed under: Vreelandella stevensii
Lineage: Bacteria; Pseudomonadati; Pseudomonadota; Gammaproteobacteria; Oceanospirillales; Halomonadaceae
Description: partial 16S ribosomal RNA
Rfam family: Bacterial small subunit ribosomal RNA
Source: RNAcentral
CCUACGGGUGGCAGCAGUGGGGAAUAUUGGACAAUGGGGGGAACCCUGAUCCAGCCAUGCCGCGUGUGUGAAGAAGGCCCUCGGGUUGUAAAGCACUUUCAGUGAGGAAGAACGCCUGGUGGUUAAUACCCAUCAGGAAAGACAUCACUCACAGAAGAAGCACCGGCUAACUCCGUGUCAGCAGCCGCGGUAAUACGGAGGGUGCGAGCGUUAAUCGGAAUUACUGGGCGUAAAGCGCGCGUAGGUGGCUUGAUAAGCCGGUUGUGAAAGCCCCGGGCUCAACCUGGGAACGGCAUCCGGAACUGUCAAGCUAGAGUGCAGGAGAGGAAGGUAGAAUUCCCGGUGUAGCGGUGAAAUGCGUAGAGAUCGGGAGGAAUACCAGUGGCGAAGGCGGCCUUCUGGACUGACACUGACACUGAGGUGCGAAAGCGUGGGUAGCAAACAGGAUUAGAUACCCUAGUAGUC